AAUCAACGCUGGCGGCGUGCCUAACACAUGCAAGUCGAACGCGAAAGCCCCGCAAGGGUGAGUAGAGUGGCAAACGGGUGAGUAACACGUGGGUGACCUGCCUUAGAGUGGGGGAUAACGUCCCGAAAGGGACGCUAAUACCGCAUAACAUCCUGCCUUUGAAGAGGUGGAGAUCAAAGCCGGGGACCGCAAGGCCUGGCGCUCAAAGAGGGGCCCGCGCCUGAUUAGCUAGUUGGUGGGGUAANGGUCUCACCAAGGCAACGAUCAGUAUCCGGCCUGAGAGGGGCGGACGGACACACUGGGACUGAGACACGGCCCAGACUCCUACGGGGAGGCAGCAGUGGGGUAAUUGUUCGCAAUGGGCGCAAGCCUGACGACGC
Molecule: ribosomal RNA, 380 nt
Filed under: uncultured bacterium
Lineage: Bacteria
Description: bacterial SSU rRNA
Rfam family: Bacterial small subunit ribosomal RNA
Source: RNAcentral